RNAcentral lists this transfer RNA (33 nucleotides) under Elaeagia mariae. Its description in RNAcentral is "partial tRNA-Phe". Lineage: Eukaryota; Viridiplantae; Streptophyta; Magnoliopsida; Gentianales; Rubiaceae. The record is from RNAcentral.
GUCGGGAUAGCUCAGCUGGUAAAGCAAAGGACU